CCGGACGGACCCCGCGAGCUCCGCCUCCGCCGCUGGCUGAGAAAGCGGCGGGGCCUCUGCUCCCAGAUCCCGCCCGCCUCGGGCGCAGCGUACUGGGACCCGCACGUGCCGCGGGAGAGGUGGGUGCGGGCGCCCGGGGCGGUCAGGAGACAGCCACGCACUGGGAACCCAGGCAGGAUCGAAACCCUAAGGAUAUUGUUCUACUGGAAACCCUAAGAUUCCCUGAGCUUGUUGCCGGUUACCCAAAGGGAUUUGCGAAAAUUGAUAUUAUGUACAUAAAUGUUUGACACAGGGCAGCAGACACGACAAAGGAGAUGAGAUCUGGCGCUGUGUCUCCCUCAGAGGUGUCACCAUGGAGUCACCAGGGACGCUACAGCCAGCCACCCUAGAGAAGCCAGAGAGACUGAUAGGAUUGUGUGGGGCCUUGAGGGAAUCAGAGUUUUCGACCCUGGCCUCCAGGACGGGGAAGAGCAGUUGCUGUUUCUCCCCACUUGGACCUAUCCACAGCCUGAUUUCUCCAGAUCCAUGUCUCUCUCCAAACUUUUCAGGCCUUGCAGAGCUAUGUGAAAAACGGAAGCUACAGGGAGGCUUCCAAGGAAAACCACUUUCCCUUUAGAUGCUUGGAUUUAACACCUUCCCCAUCCUUAAGAUUUAAGAGGUGUUAGAGUCAUAAUUGCAAUGGAUGCCAUUUAUGGAAUGCUCACACAAGAA
Octodon degus (degu) is the source of this 711-nucleotide long non-coding RNA. RefSeq lists it as uncharacterized. Lineage: Eukaryota; Metazoa; Chordata; Mammalia; Rodentia; Octodontidae. The transcript has 3 exons. The record is from RefSeq and is a predicted model, not a curated record.